RNAcentral lists this ribosomal RNA (235 nucleotides) under uncultured bacterium. RNAcentral's name for it is "partial 16S ribosomal RNA". It matches the Rfam family "Bacterial small subunit ribosomal RNA", at positions 524 to 753 of the family's 1533-position model. The record is from RNAcentral.
GACGUAGGGCGCGAGCGUUUGUCCGGAUUUAUUGGGCGUAAAGAGCUCGUAGGCGGUCUGUCGCGUCUGCUGUGAAAACUCAGGGCUUAACCCUGAGCUUGCAGUGGGUACGGGCAGACUAGAGUGCGGUAGGGGAGACUGGAAUUCCUGGUGUAGCGGUGAAAUGCGCAGAUAUCAGGAGGAACACCCGGUGGGCGAAAGGCGGGUCUCUGGGAAACAACUGACGCUGGAGGAA